This 259-nucleotide ribosomal RNA is filed under the name uncultured prokaryote. RNAcentral's name for it is "partial 16S ribosomal RNA". It matches the Rfam family "Bacterial small subunit ribosomal RNA", at positions 524 to 782 of the family's 1533-position model. The record is from RNAcentral.
UACGGAGGAUGCGAGCGUUAUCCGGAUUUAUUGGGUUUAAAGGGUGCGUAGGCGGCUUUUUAAGUCAGCGGUGAAAUUUUGCAGCUUAACUGUAACAGUGCCGUUGAUACUGGGGAGCUAGGAUUUGGUUGCUGUGGGUGGAAUGUGUGGUGUAGCGGUGAAAUGCUUAGAUAUCACACAGAAUAUCAAUUGCGAAGGCAGCUCACAAAGCCAAGAUUGACGCUGAGGCACGAAAGUGUGGGGAUCAAACAGGAUUAGA